CCACCAGCUGCACCUAAUCCUGCAAUCAACCCCACCUAUAUUCUCAGCUCUGGCACAUCCACUCUGCCAGAUUGUAGCCUCUGUUCAUUCCGUCUGCUCUGCCCUCCAGCCCCUGUCUCCUGGACCUUGUCUCCUACUUGUCUGCUCUCCUAACCUGGACCCACUGAGCUCCAUACCUCACCUCUGGGAUCUCUGCCUGGCUCUGCUCUGAACCAUUCCCCGUGCCUCACCUGGCUGACUUAACCCUGCAGUCCUGAAAAUAAACACUGUUUCACUCCAA
This is a long non-coding RNA of Thunnus maccoyii (southern bluefin tuna), 280 nucleotides long. RefSeq lists it as uncharacterized. Lineage: Eukaryota; Metazoa; Chordata; Actinopteri; Scombriformes; Scombridae. The record is from RefSeq and is a predicted model, not a curated record. The transcript has 2 exons.